RNAcentral lists this ribosomal RNA (254 nucleotides) under uncultured bacterium. Its description in RNAcentral is "partial 16S ribosomal RNA". It matches the Rfam family "Bacterial small subunit ribosomal RNA", at positions 524 to 776 of the family's 1533-position model. The record is from RNAcentral.
UACGGGGGCUCCAAGCGUUGUCCGGUAUCAUUGGGCGUAAAGAGUUAUGUAGGCGGUUUGUCGCGUCUGCCGUGAAAAUUCGAGGCUCAACCUCGAACUUGCGGUGGGUACGGGCAGACUAGAGUGUGGUAGGGGAGACUGGAAUUCCUGGUGUAGCGGUGAAAUGCGCAGAUAUCUGGAGGAAUACCGGUGGCGAAGGCGGCAUCCUGGACCGAGAUUGACGCUGAGGAGCGAAAGCUAGGGGAGCAAACGGG